This 453-nucleotide ribosomal RNA is filed under the name uncultured marine bacterium. RNAcentral describes it as "bacterial SSU rRNA". It matches the Rfam family "Bacterial small subunit ribosomal RNA", at positions 360 to 804 of the family's 1533-position model. The record is from RNAcentral.
AAUAUUGGACAAUGGGCGAAAGCCUGAUCCAGCCAUGCCGCGUGUGUGAAGAAGGCCUUUUGGUUGUAAAGCACUUUAAGCGAGGAGGAGGCUACUUAGAUUAAUACUCUAGGAUAGUGGACGUUACUCGCAGAAUAAGCACCGGCUAACUCUGUGCCAGCAGCCGCGGUAAUACAGAGGGUGCGAGCGUUAAUCGGAUUUACUGGGCGUAAAGCGUGCGUAGGCGGCUUUUUAAGUCGGAUGUGAAAUCCCUGAGCUUAACUUAGGAAUUGCAUUCGAUACUGGGAAGCUAGAGUAUGGGAGAGGAUGGUAGAAUUCCAGGUGUAGCGGUGAAAUGCGUAGAGAUCUGGAGGAAUACCGAUGGCGAAGGCAGCCAUCUGGCCUAAUACUGACGCUGAGGUAGGAAAGCAUGGGGAGCAAACAGGAUUAGAUACCCUGGUAGUCCAUGCCGUA